UCCAGACUCCUACGGGAGGCAGCAGUGGGGGAUAUUGCACAAUGGGGGGAACCCUGAUGCAGCGACGCCGCGUGGGUGAAGGAGUAUUUCGGUAUGUAAAGCCCUAUCGGCAGGGAAGAAGCAAGACGGUACCUGACUAAGAAGCCCCGGCUAACUACGUGCCAGCAGCCGCGGUAAUACGUAGGGGGCAAGCGUUAUCCGGAUUUACUGGGUGUAAAGGGAGCGUAGGUGGCAUGGCAAGCCAGAAGUGAAAACCCGGGGCUUAACCCCGCGGAUUGCUUUUGGAACUGUCAGGCUGGAGUGCAGGAGGGGCAGGCGGAAUUCCUGGUGUAGCGGUGAAAUGCGUAGAUAUCAGGAGGAACACCGGUGGCGAAGGCGGCCUGCUGGACUGUAACUGACACUGAGGCUCGAAAGCGUGGGGAGCAAACAGGAUUAGAUACCCCAGUAC
RNAcentral lists this ribosomal RNA (448 nucleotides) under uncultured bacterium. Its description in RNAcentral is "partial 16S ribosomal RNA". It matches the Rfam family "Bacterial small subunit ribosomal RNA", at positions 330 to 793 of the family's 1533-position model. The record is from RNAcentral.